RNAcentral lists this long non-coding RNA (696 nucleotides) under Brachypodium distachyon (stiff brome). RNAcentral's name for it is "long non-coding RNA (BDIS_LNC000640)". Lineage: Eukaryota; Viridiplantae; Streptophyta; Magnoliopsida; Poales; Poaceae. The record is from RNAcentral.
UGACUUUGAACUUGAAAUUUUGCAGGUUUGUAGAACAUCACACUCCCAACAUAUGGUAUUUCUGUAGAAAUUUUUUGAAACUUUUAAACAUGUUUUUUAUGAAGUUUGCGCGGUUUACACCGAAUGAAGAUUUUCAUCGGAUACGCAGCCGACUAAUAAUUGGUGGGGGAUUCGACUAUAAGCUGGAAGGUUUACAUGGGCUUUGGACAGUCACACAGAUCUUGGCCCGAUAUACUUAUAUCGGUUAGCUCGAUCGAACCGAGGAAGCUGAUUCUUCUUCUUUUUUCCUUUUUUUUUUAGAAGAGUAAGCUGAUUGUAGAACAGAGAUGACGGAGCUUCUUCAGUUUUUAUGAUUCUUCAGUUUAUACGGUCGGUUUUAAAUUCAGGACUCUUAAUUCGGGUCUGGUACAUCAUUUUUUAUGCCCGCCCCUACACGUUACCUAUACAAAGAAACCGAACCAGCUUUUCCGCAAAAAGAGAGAAACCGAACCAGCUACCGUACGUGAGCCGGUAUCAGGGACCACGGCUAAACGUUUCCUGUGUUGAGUGACUCGAGUGAGCUAUUCAUGAACUUCAGUCUAUUUUACUACUACUACGAUGCAGAAUACAUAGCAUGGCACUCUCAAUUGCUGUCUGCCGGUUUGUAGGCAAGGUCGUGGUCAGGGUCCUAUAAGGAUAAGAUCACGUAAUCUAGUC